UCCUAUUUCUAGCAGGCACGCGUUUAUGGCGCGGCUUGAGCAGGCAGUAAGCUCUAACCUGUUAACAUGGGAGCCAAAAUAUAAACGGACGCCACGCAGCUGACACGCUCGCGCGGCGCCUUAACCGGCCUUAGGAAAACUCUGGUUUCACGUCUGCAUGUAUAGCAGCUAAACAGGGAAUGAAUCAUGAUUUGUUUGUUCGUCCUCCGUGUCAGCUAGCAUGUUUCAACCGGAAUUAUUACAGCUUGGUCAUUAGUUCUAGCUAUUUAAUCAGGGAACAGGAAAUGCUUUCAAAUUAUUUGAUUUAGUGUUAUUUUAUAUCCACACAACUUAUUUUGUCCAAGCAAAAGCAUUAGAUUGGGCAAAUGUUUACUAUUUCUAUUAUAAUUGAGUUAAUUUCAUUGAGCUUGGUGCUAAAAUUAUAAUUUCUUCUUUCCUGUCUAGAUUUUGUCAAGCAGACCAAAUCCCUGAAUGCAGUGGACCUGUAAGUACUGAACUUUUAGUGCUGAUAAGAGAGGCUAUUUGCUAAAGCAUUAUCGCCUGAAACAUGGGUCCCACGCUCGAUCCGCUUUCCCGUGCCUUCAUAGGGAAUGUCUUUGCACUUUUAAAACUUUCAAUUCACUCAAGGUACAUUUAGCAAAAUGGCACACUCAGAAAGAUCCAGGGAGAGUAGGUCAAACUGUAUUUCACUGUCAGCUGUGUGAUUUUAUGGAGCCUUGCAAUGAGAAUGAAUUUUUCACACAUUUGCGAAGACAUCUGAAGUUAAAGCAAAUAGUUGUUUGUCCAUAUCAAGACUGUAACUUCAGGAGCAAUGUUUAUUCCACCUUUAAUGCGCACAAAAGCAAAGAGCAUCAACAUGAGAGGCCAUUCAAACCUGAAAUCGUUUCUGAGAUUAGAGACAGUGUACUUUCCGAACCGGCUGGUAAUUUGGAUGUUCAACUUGUAAACGAUGCAACUGAAACUGAUAUUGAGUUAGAUGUUUCUGAGGUUGAUGAAGAUGUGGGUGACUUGGAAAGACAGUUAGAACAUAAUAUAGCUGCUCUAUUUCUGAAAAUGUCAGCAAUUCUCAAUGUCACUGAAAAUGCCUUGCAAGAUGUGAUAGAGCAGAUCAACCAAAUGUAUUUGCUGUCACAGCACUUGUUGCGAUCCUCAGUUCAAAGAGUACUGCAGCAGCAUUUUGGAGAUGUUGAUGAGACUUUAGUGAGUAAGAUAGUGAGAGCAGUUACUGAGAGUAAUGUAUUUCUCAAAGUCACUUCUACUGGAGGUUCACUCUCAACUGUUAGCAACCGUGCAUCAUUCAUUUUAAGGGAAUUCUCUGUAGUAAUGCCUGAGGAGCUUCUUCUAAAAAACAAGCAGACAUUUGUGUAUGUUCCCAUUCUCAAAAUGCUCCAGACAUUGCUUAACAAUGGAGAUGUGUUAGAUAAGGCCAUGGCAGCAGAGACACAUGUGUCACAGGGAUACAGGUCUCACAGGGACGGUUCCCUUUUCAAAGAGAAUUCUCUUUUCUCUGAGGAAGAGUUCAGAAUUUCGCUUUUCUUGUACAUUGAUGAUUUUGAAAUGUCAAACCCUUUGGGGUCAUCUAGAAAGAAGCACAAGCUAUGUGCCAUCUACUGGGUGCUUGGCAAUCUCCACCCAAAAUAUCGCUCCACACUUCAUGUCAUUCAGCUUGCAGUGCUUUGCAAGGUUGACUCCAUCAAGGAAUAUGGCUAUGAUGAACUUCUUCGCUGUCUUGUUAAGGAUGUUGUCUCUCUUGAGCGUCAAGGUGUGUACGUCGAGCAGUUAGGAGCUAGCGUUAGAGGCACUGUAUCAUUUGUUGCUGCAGACAAUCUUGCUGCUCACUCGUUGGGAGGAUUCUUUGAAAGCUUCACAUUUAGUCACAUGUGUCGUUUCUGUAUGGCCACACGGGAAGGAAUACAACACACAGAAGUGCAGUCAGGUGCAUUCCAACAAAGGACAAAAGAAAACCAUGAUCAUCAGGUGCAAGAGGUAUUGAAGGAUGAAACCAUGGCUCCAGAGUAUGGUGUAAAAAGAAGCUGCUUGUUGAGUGAUAGCUUAGAAUACUUUCAUGUUAUUAAUGGUUUCUCACCGGACCUUUUGCAUGAUCUCUUGGAGGGCAUUGUUCCUUUUGAAUUGGCCUUGUGUUUAAAGGCAUUGAUAGCAAAAGGAUACUUCUCACUUCUUAAUUUGAAUAUGGCCAUCAAACAGUUUCCUUAUUCGUUUUCUGACAAAACGAAUCAGCCUCAGGUCAUCGGCAAAACAUUUGCCUCAAAGGGCACAAUUGGGGGAAAUGGCCACGAAAAUUGGGCACUUCUUCGACUGCUACCUCUCUUGAUAGGCCAUCUCAUCCCAGAGAGUGAUGAGACUUGGGAAGUGUUGAUGCACUUAAAAGAUGUAGUGGAGUUGUCAAUGUCCAUAGGAUUCACAGAGGAGUCUGUGUACUUUCUGCAGUGCAAAAUUUCAGAACACAGAGGUGCAUUUCAAAGAGUGUUCCCUGACAAAAAACUACGACCUAAGCACCACUAUGUAGAACAUUACCCUGAGCUCAUUAAAAUGUUUGGACCUCUGUCUCAUGUGUGGACGAUGCGCUUUGAGGGGAAACACAAAUUUUUCAAAAAAGCGGUCCGUCACACCAACAAUUUCAAGAACAUAGCCCUCUCUUUAGCUGUAAGGCAUCAGAAAAUGAUAUCAUUCCAUCUAGCUGCAACCUCCUUUUUUAAGCCAUCCAUCGAACUUACCAAAGUGAAGUCUGUGAUGGUGUCUUCAUUUCCAGAAAAUGUCCAGAACUCACUCUAUGAAAUGAAUGACCGGCAAAGCACAGUCCUUGUGGCGUCUUCUGUAUGCGUAGACAGCGUUAAGUACAGUGCAGACAUGGUGGUUUCUGUUGGUUCUUGUUCUGGGCUCCCAGAUUUCAGAAUGAUAACAAAGAUUGUGGUGAUCAACACUAACGUUGUGUUUGUCUGCAGACUUAUGAAAGCGUGGUACAACGAACAUCUUAGGGCAUAUGAACUGUGUGGCGAUCAUAUAUCCACCUUCUUGGUCACCCACUUAAGGGAACUGAAUGACGUUUUUCCCCUAUCAGUCUACAGCAUUAGAGACAGGCAGUUGGUUACACUUAAAAGGUUUAUCUUGUGCUAAGUAAUGUUGGAAACAAAUCUAACUUUUCUUCUUUUUUUUUACAGCCUCAUUAGAAUGGCUCAAACAUUAUUACUCCGAGUCAUCAUAAAUGAAGAUGACAUCCGAAAGAUUAAAAUCAAUGAAAGACCGCAGGAUGUGGAAGAGCUGAAAAGCCGCCUAAAAGAUGAACUACAGCUCCAGUAUGACUUUCACAUCCAGUAUGAAGAUCAGGAUUUUGAUCAAACUUUGUGUAACUUAACUAAUAUGACAGAGUUGUCCAACAAAGCGACACUAAAAAUUAUCCCCAUGGUCACACUAAAUCUAACCUCCAUUACAUCACCUGUGUCAACAUCAGUGUCUGGCAGUGAAACAGACACUUUGUCGCCACCAGAAUCACAUUUCAACCAUGCAAGACAACAAUGGCCACAGAUUUUUCCAAUUCCAAAUUUUUCUGUUGACGUGAAUCACAAAUUGAGGCAAGCAGAUCUUGAUUACUUAAAUAAUGGUACUCGGCUGGUUCCGUCACGCGACGUGAAGCAUGACAUCCUUGAAAAAAUUUCCGAAGCCAUUUAUUCCUUCAAGGCUUACCCUACAGAUGAGCAGUUUACUGAUGUGGCAAAGGCCUUGAUCUCUAAGCACCCAAGCCUUACUGAACCUGGGACCCAGACAUGCUGGUAUGGCUGGAAAAGCAGCCUCAAAUUUAAGAUGGGAAAUUUACGUACUAAAUUAAGAAGGGCUGGGUUGGAAGAAAUUGCUAUCAAUGGCAGUAAGAGAAGCAAAGUCAACCCGGGAGGAGACCAUCCUUCAAAAAAUAUCAAAAGACCAAAAAGAGGUGAGGCAAACUACCUGCCAAACAUGCCCAAAGGAAAAACUGAAGCAAACCUCGAAACAAUUAGAAACAAUCUAGUUGAAGAAUUAAAAAAGAAAAAACCAAAUGGAAUCAUGAUUCUGCAAAUAAUGGAUCAAACAUUCCCGAUGCAACGAAGGGAGAUCGUCAGAGAUGAGCCUGAUGUACGGAGCUUGGUGGACCGAUGGCCGGCUCUCUUCACCAAAGGCCAGGUUUGUGCUGAGUUCAACAGAGUAGCAAGCAAGAAUCUGGAAGGAGAUUUCUUUGAGGCGCUGGACCAGCUCAUUCCGCGUUCUUUGCAACUUUUCAAGGACCGAAAAGGGGCCAUUGGGCAGAAGUUGACAGAACUCAUGCAGGACAUCAACUUUGUACACACUGUGACAGAUGGGGCCAUUGCAUCGGUGACUGUUGGUGUGCUCACUGUUCUUGGGGAGAUGGACGGCGAACCUCUUCCGGGUCCAAGCUCGUUGGAAUUGCAGCCCAGGUCCCAUGCAAUUAUCCUUGAGGGAAGUAUUGUGAUGGACAAUAUUCCAGACUUGCCCCUGGCUGUUUGCCUCCUGUUUGGCCUCACAUAUGCUUUACAUCUCGAUUAUCCCAAAUGCAUGUCAAAUACCCUGAGAUUCAUUCAGUCAGCCAUGCUGGGAUUGGGAAGCAAAACCCUCCCACCGAAGUUGCUGAGUCUGAAAAAUGACCUACUGAGAUAGAUUUUAGCCACCAGACUGAUAUGUUGGAUGAAUCCAACCUCAAGGUUAUUACAUCUUAGGUUUGGGAGAUUUGAGACCUUUGUACCUAAAUAGGAAUUUCUUAAUAGCCUACUUUUGAUGGUAGCCACACACUGUUUAAUCUUCUCAGUUAAAUCCUUACUCUUAAAGAAAAAUCGAAAUAUACAGUAGGCAAGUAAAAUGCACUUUUUUGAUUAUUGUGAAAUAUAAGUGCUCUUGUCUUUUAUGUUAAAGGUGACUGUUAAGUUCUACGGUUUUAUGACAUGGUUGGGUCUUUAAAAUAACACUCGAUUGCGCUUCGGAGUCUUUUAUUAUAAGAGUCAUUUUCAUACUUUUGGUGUUAACACCUUAUGUCUGCGAUGCCCUACUGAGAUAGCUUUUGGCCACUAUACUCGUGUUGGAUGAAUCCAAUUUCAAAAGGAUUUCAAUCCUUAACUUUGGGGAGAUUUGAGACCUUUGUACCUAAAUAGGAAUUUCUUAAUAGCCUGCUUUUGAUGGUAGCCACACACUGUUUAAUCUUCUCAGUCUCUCUCUCUUUCUUAAAGAAAAAUCUAAAUAUAAAGUAGGCAAGUAAAAUGCAAUUUUUUGAUUAUUGUGAAAAAUAUGUUAAAGGUGACUGUUAAGUCCUAUGGUUUUAUGACAUGGUUGGGUCUUUAAAAUAACACUGCGCUUCUGGGUCUUUUAUUAAGAGUCAUUUUCAUACUUUUGUUGUUAAUAACACAACUCCAGGCAUUUUCCUUGUUUAGUCUUCUUAGUUAAUGUCCCAGUCUUAAUGGAACACAGCGACUUAUUGGGAAUUUAGCUUAUUCACCGUAAC
This is an RNA transcript of Perca flavescens (yellow perch), 5500 nucleotides long. RefSeq lists it as uncharacterized. Lineage: Eukaryota; Metazoa; Chordata; Actinopteri; Perciformes; Percidae. The transcript has 3 exons. The record is from RefSeq and is a predicted model, not a curated record.